GGGGCGUGGCCCCGAAACAUUGCAUUUCGCAAUAAACACGCAAGGCAGCUUGCUUGCAUUGAUCCUGUGUGCCUUUGGAUUCUUUUUGCGAAGGCCCUGAAUGCAGGACAUGGUGCCAAGUGCAAAAAAGAACUACUGACUUCGGGUGCAUCCCCCUGGCCAAAGGUUUGCCGCCAAAGGCACAACUUUUUGCACUCCCAAAAUGAAUUGCACCUACCUUCUGUAAGCAUUGUGUACAGGGCUGCCUUUUUAUAUAAAUGCAUUGCAAAAUUUGUGGCACAGACUGCACAAACUAUUUCCCAGAGGCAGCUGCUGAAUGUGUUGCAUUUAGACAUGUGCGAGAGGCACAAUAUUGAAUUCUUUUACUGAAUGAAUCCUCUCUAGACACUUACUGCGUACUAACUAGCACACUACAAAUCAUAGAAUUAUACUGCUCUAUAUUGUCAUUUUUAUACUGCAUACUUGCUGUAUGGAGAGGGUUUUACACACACGUAAAAUUGGAAACCAUGUGGUUUAUUCUCAGCAAGGAAUCUGACAUUCAGUACAGAUCUCGGGAUCAAGAGAAAAUCUCUGUUUUCCUUUCCUUCCGCUGCGCAAACGGUUUGACUCUGCUGCAAUUUGCCUUUCCGAAGUGGUUUUUCAUUGCAGAUAACUUCACCGUCCUGAGUAAAUUAAUUGACCUGCUCAAAAGAAGUGGUAAUCUAUCAAAAGCUCCCUCGUUCUUUGAAAAGGCUUUAGGUAAUUCUUCCCAGACUACUCUGGAGCCUGGAUUCAAUUACUGCAAAGGGCUUUACUGCUGAAGGAUAAUGGUUCUGCCAUUCUGGUUGUAGCCCAGACCUUCAUGAUUCUGAGACAAACAUCCGAGCCAGGAACCAGAUGUCUAAGAUGGCCUGGUCCAUAGCCGACGCAGAAGACCUGGAAAAGAGCUGGCUGCUUCUUGCAGACAUUUACAUCAAGUCCGGGAAAUAUGAUAUCGCAACAGAGCUACUGAAGCGUUGCUUACUGUACAACAAGGUGGGGGGGGAAGGUAAAUACUGUAAUGAAGAGCCAAAUGUAUUGAAUGUAAUGUCACAUAAAGAUCUACUGGCUCGUCUAGUGUUCUCAUUUGUUAUUGCCCUUUUCUAGUAUUAAAGGGGAACUACCUCAAAAAUGAAAAUUUAAUAUAGCUGAAAUAAAUACAAUUCAUUCAA
This is a long non-coding RNA of Xenopus laevis (African clawed frog), 1190 nucleotides long. RefSeq lists it as uncharacterized. The record is from RefSeq and is a predicted model, not a curated record. The transcript is spliced from 2 exons. NCBI's taxonomy places the organism in Eukaryota, Metazoa, Chordata, Amphibia, Anura, Pipidae.